RNAcentral lists this long non-coding RNA (456 nucleotides) under Cyanistes caeruleus (blue tit). RNAcentral describes it as "lncRNA (ENSCCEG00000014632.1)". Lineage: Eukaryota; Metazoa; Chordata; Aves; Passeriformes; Paridae. The record is from RNAcentral.
AUGAGGUCACAGAGCCCCACUCUGCUCUUCAGUGCAACUCUGGGCAACACUGCAGCAGCAGCAGCAGUGACAGUGGAGGCAGAAUGUUGCAUCCUGGCCCUGCAAGCUCAGAACACCCAGAGUGCUCAAAUACCUGAGCAGGGAGCAGUUGAGGACAGAAAGGAUUCACCUCCAACUCCUGAAGUAGAUUCCAUGCUGAUUCCAAGCUGGUAUCUCAAACGGAGGGAUUACCAGAAGAUACUUGUGGUUCCAAGAGGGCUUCUAAGAGCAUUGGUAAAAUCUGCAUCUGAGACAGAUCAUGAGAUGGUGGAGAAGGAGACCUUUCCCUUGAGAGAAAAUAACACCAUGCCAAGCACAGAUGAAGAAAAAGAAGCAGUAACAGAUACCAGCACACUUGCUCAUCACGAGAGACAUUCAGGAAGUGAGUGCUUGGGAGAUGUUUGCUUAGGGAAAUAG